UUUGCCUACGGGACGCAGCAGUGAGGGAUAUUGGGCAAUGGGGGAAACCCUGACCCAGCGACGCCGCGUGAGGGAAGACGGUCUUCGGAUUGUAAACCUCUGUCUUUGGGGACGAAAAAGGACGGUACCCAAGGAGGAAGCUCCGGCUAACUACGUGCCAGCAGCCGCGGUAAUACGUAGGGAGCGAGCGUUGUCCGGAAUUACUGGGUGUAAAGGGAGCGUAGACGGUCCUGCAAGCCAGAUGUGAAAGCCCGGGGCUCAACCCCGGGACUGCAUUUGGAACUGUAAGGCUAGAGUGUCGGAGG
RNAcentral lists this ribosomal RNA (305 nucleotides) under uncultured bacterium. RNAcentral describes it as "bacterial SSU rRNA". It matches the Rfam family "Bacterial small subunit ribosomal RNA", at positions 334 to 655 of the family's 1533-position model. The record is from RNAcentral.